This is a non-coding RNA of Zonotrichia albicollis (white-throated sparrow), 2093 nucleotides long. NCBI's taxonomy places the organism in Eukaryota, Metazoa, Chordata, Aves, Passeriformes, Passerellidae. The record is from RefSeq and is a predicted model, not a curated record.
GCUCACAAAGGUAUUUUAGCUGCCCAAAGCUAUCUCUGCCUAGAGAGCUACUCCUCACAUCCACCAGCAUUCUGCAAUGUGGAACAAGAAGGGAAUAAAGCAACAGGAGGAAGUUACUGGCAGUAAUUAUUCAUCACAGCCCUUCCCAUUCUGUCUUCUGUGACUUAGAGAUUGAGACCUGGCAGAUUUAAAGGUGGGAGAGAGGGGAAAUCUGUUUUCUCAGAUGAUGUUCGCAGGCCUUUGCCUCCUUACUUCUCACUGCAUAGUACUAUUACCCUGGUGGUCUGAGGGAUUUCAUCAGAUGAAAGAAAAGAGGGAGCUUUGAGUAACUAACUGAAUUCCAGAUCACUUGUUUUUCAAGAAAACAGUGGGCACAAAUGUAUAAAAUAUGAGUAUCUGGGAACAAGUGAAAUGAAAGAAGUUCCUUCAGAUUAUUUUUCACUAUGAAACUGAGGUCAAAGACUGAGGCUUUGGUUUGAAGACCAAGCAUGGCUGAGUCAGUUUGGAUAAAACACAAGUAUUAGGAAUCUGUAUUGUUUGUCACAUUGCCUGUGGUUUUGACUGAAAUAUCAAUAGAAUCUGAUCUCCCUUUUUGUUCUUAACAUUGCAAAAUACUAUGUUUUCUUAAUCCUUUCUAGCACUGAAGAAGAAAGUGAGGAGUCUCUCUAGAUUUUGGGCUGGAGAAAAUGAAAUCUUUAUCUUUGGCCACCUUUGACUCAUUUUUAGUGAAACUGAAAGAGUUCAAAUCAAUGUUAGAAAUGGUCUCCCCUUGAAGCUUUUGAGAAUGGACCAGCAGUACUGGGCAUUUCCAGAAGUGGCCAGGGAUGAAGCACUGAAAACACAAACUGUCCAUUCCCUCUCUCCCCCAGUUUUUAGUGUAAAUCUCAGGUAUCUGAUGCUAUCUGUGGGAAUGUGGUUAUGAAUAUCUAAAACUCCAAGUCACUGAACAGCAGGAAGUGUGUGGGAUGAGCCACAGAUGGAGAGGAUGAAACCAGGAACAUUGGCUGUCAAGAGGAAAGCAAACAGUGACUUUAUUACAUUUUGGGUGUCCUACAUUCCGGCUCAGCCCAGCUAAAUGUUUCACCAGACCCAUUCCUGUUUGUUCAGACUUUGUCAUUGAACCUUGGACUAUAUGUCAGCAGCUGAGAGCAGAGGAAGGACAAGGAAAAGCUUACAGGAAAUGCAUGCACUUAAAUAUUCAGGCUGCCAUAUGUCUGCUUAUGGGAGAAUUUAUUGAAGAUGGGAUUUUCCCCAUGAUUCUGACCUAUUGGAAAAGGCAAGAUUUAAGAGAUGCUGUGAAGAUUCCCCUGCCCCAUCCCACCUGUGUGAACUAAGGAAGGGUUGGCUGGAAUUGCUGCCAAGGAUGUGUGGAACAGCCAGGAUCCAUCUCUCCUGGGUUUGACUGAGGAGUCCAACCCACCCACCCCGGGCAGCACAGGGGUUUACACCACUGUGAUGUCACUGCUACAACCACCUCACCAGCAGAAACAUCAAAAUCAAGAAUUUUGCCCGUGACUAUUUUGCCUUCCAAUACUCCCCACACAAGUGAUUUUUGGUAAAAAGGGGUCCAUAGCAAGAUUUGGACGAUGCUCUUGAGCACAUGGCUUGAUUCUUGGGACUGUUUUGUGCAGGAUCAGGUGAACUGAGUGGGUCCUUUCCAACUCAAGAAGCUGUUUGAGUAUUUCUGCAACAUCUGGAAAGAUGGCAAAAGUUGAAGCUACAAAUGUCACAGAGCAAUAGCAGUGACUGCCCUUCCUUGGACAGAUUGGCCCUUCUAAGGAUGUGAAGGAAUGGACUGAACACCUGGGAGACGUGGCAUUUCUGCGAGCAAGAAGGAAGAAGAGGAAUGCAGCAGUGGUGGGAGGUGGAGGUUUUCAUCAAUCCCAGCCAACGUGAGCAGCAACAGCAGCUCUGCCUUAUCAAUGAGAGAGGAACUGGGGACACUGAGUGGGCAAAGGGGGCAGGGCCUGAGGGUCCCUCACUCUAACCCAGCGUGCAGGGUGAGACCCAGGGGAGGCAGAGGUGAGCAGGAACAGCUCAGCAACUGCUGGAGGAGAAGGACACGUGGCAGAGUGCGACCGUGUUCACAGGGG